CAUCACUACGCUAGAUGCAUAUCAAUAAGCGGAGGAAAAGAAACUAACUAGGAUUCCCUCAGUAACGGCGAGUGAAGCGGGAAGAGCUCAAAUUUGAAAUCUUCAAGGUUCUACCUUGACGAAUUGUAGUUUAAAGAAGUGUUUUCUGUUGGAGUUUUGGUAAAAGUUCUUUGGAAUAGGACAUCAUAGAGGGUGAGAAUCCCGUAUUUGACCAUUAUUUCCAACUUUGUGAUACACUUUCAAAGAGUCGGAUUGUUUGGGAAUGCAGUCCAAAAUGGGUGGUAAAUUUCAUCUAAAGCUAAAUACUGGCGAGAGACCGAUAGCGAACAAGUACCGUGAGGGAAAGAUGAAAAGAACUUUGAAAAGAGAGUUAAACAGUACGUGAAAUUGUCAAAAGGGAAGCGUUUGACACCAGUGUUGUUUUCUCGAAAAUCAAUUAAAAAUGGCGGGAUGUUGUGUUGUAUUGACUUUAUCAGCUUUCUGCACUUUUUUCCUGUCUUUUUUAAUGCACUUUUCGUUUAACAAGUCAACAUCAAUUUCCUUUGCUGUAAAAGAGUCAUUGGAAGGUGGCUUUCUUUUCGGAGAAAGUGUUUAUAGCCUUUGGCUUCUGCAGUCGGAGAGAUUGAGGUCUGCAGCGUAGAUCCUUCGGGGUUAGAUGCAUUUGUGCUAAGUUAUAGCCUUUCAUAGACAACUUGUUGACUAUGAUCAGUCAUGUAGCUUACUCGCUUAUGUCAUUUUACCUACGCUUAGGAUGUUGACGAGACUGUCGAUCUC
RNAcentral lists this ribosomal RNA (774 nucleotides) under uncultured Neocallimastigales. Its description in RNAcentral is "partial large subunit ribosomal RNA". It matches the Rfam family "Eukaryotic large subunit ribosomal RNA", at positions 20 to 646 of the family's 3401-position model. Lineage: Eukaryota; Fungi; Neocallimastigomycota; Neocallimastigomycetes; Neocallimastigales. The record is from RNAcentral.